This 460-nucleotide ribosomal RNA is filed under the name uncultured bacterium. Its description in RNAcentral is "partial 16S ribosomal RNA". It matches the Rfam family "Bacterial small subunit ribosomal RNA", at positions 338 to 795 of the family's 1533-position model. The record is from RNAcentral.
CCUACGGGAGGCAGCAGUGAGGAAUAUUGGUCAAUGGACGCAAGUCUGAACCAGCCAUGCCGCGUGCAGGAUGACGGCUCUAUGAGUUGUAAACUGCUUUUGUACGAGGGUAAACCCCGAUACGUGUAUCGGGUUGAAAGUAUCGUACGAAUAAGGAUCGGCUAACUCCGUGCCAGCAGCCGCGGUAAUACGGAGGAUCCGAGCGUUAUCCGGAUUUAUUGGGUUUAAAGGGUGCGUAGGCGGUUGGAUAAGUUAGAGGUGAAAUGUCGGGGCUCAACCCCGAAACUGCCUCUAAUACUGUUGGACUAGAGAAUAGUUGCGGUAGGCGGAAUGUAUGGUGUAGCGGUGAAAGGCUUAGAGAUCAUACAGAACACCGAUUGCGAAGGCAGCUUACCAAACUAUAUCUGACGUUGAGGCACGAAAGCGUGGGUAGCAAACAGGAUUAGAUACCCCUGUAGUC